UGCAAGUCGAACGGUAACAGGGAGCUUGCUCCGCUGACGAGUGGCGAACGGGUGAGUAAUAUAUCGGAACGUACCAUUCAGUGGGGGAUAACGUAGCGAAAGUUACGCUAAUACCGCAUAUUCUGUGAGCAGGAAAGCAGGGGAUCGCAAGACCUUGCGCUGAUUGAGCGGCCGAUAUCAGAUUAGCUUGUUGGUGAGGUAAAAGCUCACCAAGGCGACGAUCUGUAGCGGGUCUGAGAGGAUGAUCCGCCACACUGGAACUGAGACACGGUCCAGACUCCUACGGGAGGCAGCAGUGGGGAAUUUUGGACAAUGGGGGCAACCCUGAUCCAGCCAUGCCGCGUGAGUGAAGAAGGCCUCCGGGUUGUAAAGCUCUUUCAGCCGGGAAGAAAACGCAUGGGUUAAUACCCUGUGUGGAUGACGGUACCGGAAUAAGAAGCACCGGCUAACUACGUGCCAUCAGCCGCGGUAAUACGUAGGGUGCGAGCGUUAAUCGGAAUUACUGGGCGUAAAGCGUGCGCAGGCGGUUUUGUAAGACAGGCGUGAAAUCCCCGGGCUUAACCUGGGAACUGCGUUUGUGACUGCAAGGCUAGAGUACGGCAGAGGGGGGUGGAAUUCCACGUGUAGCAGUGAAAUGCGUAGAGAUGUGGAGGAACACCAAUGGCGUAGGCAGCCCCCUGGGUCGAUACUGACGCUCAUGCACGAAAGCGUGGGUAGCAAACAGGAUUAGAUACCCUGGUAGUCCACGCCCUAAACGAUGUCAACUAGGUGUUGGGAGGGUAAAACCUUUUAGUACCGGAGCUAACGCGUGAAGUUGACCGCCUGGGGAGUACGGCCGCAAGGUUAAAACUCAAAGGAAUUGACGGGGACCCGCACAAGCGGUGGAUGAUGUGGAUUAAUUCGAUGCAACGCGAAAAACCUUACCUACCCUUGACAUGCCAAGAACUUUCCAGAGAUGGAUUGGUGCCCGAAAGGGAACUUGGACACAGGUGCUGCAUGGCUGUCGUCAGCUCGUGUCGUGAGAUGUUGGGUUAAGUCCCGCAACGAGCGCAACCCUUGUCGUUAAUUGCCAUCAUUUAGUUGGGCACUUUAACGAGACUGCCGGUGACAAACCGGAGGAAGGUGGGGAUGACGUCAAGUCCUCAUGGCCCUUAUGGGUAGGGCUUCACACGUCAUACAAUGGUCGGUACAAAGGGUGCCAAGCCGCGAGGUGGAGCCAAUCCCAGAAAGCCGAUCGUAGUCCGGAUCGCAGUCUGCAACUCGACUGCGUGAAGUCGGAAUCGCUAGUAAUCGUGGAUCAGAAUGUCACGGUGAAUACGUCCCCGGGUCUUGUACACACCGCCCGUCACACCAUGGGAGCGGGUUCCGCCAGAAGUAGGUAGCCUAACCGCAAGGAGGGCGCUUACCACGGCGGG
Molecule: ribosomal RNA, 1415 nt
Filed under: metagenome
Description: bacterial SSU rRNA
Rfam family: Bacterial small subunit ribosomal RNA
Source: RNAcentral